Molecule: unclassified non-coding RNA, 311 nt
Filed under: fungal sp.
Lineage: Eukaryota; Fungi
Description: partial internal transcribed spacer region
Rfam family: Eukaryotic small subunit ribosomal RNA (bases 1-45)
Source: RNAcentral
AGUCGUAACAAGGUUUCCGUAGGUGAACCUGCGGAAGGAUCAUUGCAAAUCAAAGAUUGGGAAUGAUAUGAUGCGAUAAGUGUGUUGGUGGGUUGUUUGAGAGCGAUUUUGAACCGUAAGGUUUGAGAGCGAUCUUGACAUUUUGCUGCUACUUGUUGCUUCAAUUUCAUUUUCAUAUACGCACAGCGUGCUUGGGAUUUAGAGGGUGCGAAUUCUCUUUGUCCAAACACACUGAUGUUUACGCUUGUUUGUUUGACAAAUCUAUUACAUUUAAAUAUUCAAAACUUUUAACAACGGAUCUCUUGGCUCUU